Molecule: ribosomal RNA, 419 nt
Filed under: uncultured bacterium
Lineage: Bacteria
Description: bacterial SSU rRNA
Rfam family: Bacterial small subunit ribosomal RNA
Source: RNAcentral
UGGGGAAUAUUGCACAAUGGGGGAAACCCUGAUGCAGCAACGCCGCGUGAAGGAUGAAGGUUUUUCGGAUCGUAAACUUCUAUCAACAGGGACGAAACAAAUGACGGUACCUGAAUAAGAAGCCCCGGCUAACUACGUGCCAGCAGCCGCGGUAAUACGUAGGGGGCAAGCGUUAUCCGGAAUUACUGGGUGUAAAGGGAGCGUAGGCGGCACGUCAAGCCAGAUGUGAAAGCCCGGGGCUUAACCCCGUGGAUUGCAUUUGGAACUGGCGAGCUAGAGUACAGGAGAGGAAAGCGGAAUUCCUAGUGUAGCGGUGAAAUGCGUAGAUAUUAGGAAGAACACCAGUGGCGAAGGCGGCUUUCUGGACUGAAACUGACGCUGAGGCUCGAAAGCGUGGGGAGCAAACAGGAUUAGAUACC